GAUGAACGCUAGCGCUAGGCUUAACACAUGCAAGUCGAGGGGCAGCACAAGGUAGCUUGCUAUCUGGGUGGCGACCGGCGCACGGGUGCGUAACGCGUAUGCAACUUGCCCUAUACAGGAGGAUAACCCGUCGAAAGACGGACUAAUACUGCGUAUGCUCACAACUUGGCAUCAAGUGGUGAGGAAAGAAAUUCGGUAUAGGAUAGGCAUGCGUCCCAUUAGCUUGUUGGUGAGGUAACGGCUCACCAAGGCAACGAUGGGUAGGGGAACUGAGAGGUUUAUCCCCCACACUGGUACUGAGACACGGACCAGACUCCUACGGGAGGCAGCAGUGAGGAAUAUUGGUCAAUGGGCGCGAGCCUGAACCAGCCAAGUCGCGUGAAGGAUGACUGUCUUAUGGAUUGUAAACUUCUUUUAUACGGGAAUAACAAGAGUCACGUGUGACUCCCUGCAUGUACCGGAUGAAUAAGCAUCGGCUAACUCCGUG
RNAcentral lists this ribosomal RNA (487 nucleotides) under uncultured bacterium. RNAcentral's name for it is "partial 16S ribosomal RNA". It matches the Rfam family "Bacterial small subunit ribosomal RNA", at positions 28 to 507 of the family's 1533-position model. The record is from RNAcentral.